UACGAAGGGGGCUAGCGUUGCUCGGAAUUACUGGGCGUAAAGGGCGCGUAGGCGGACAGUUUAGUCAGAGGUGAAAGCCCAGGGCUCAACCUUGGAAUAGCCUUUGAUACUGGCUGUCUUGAGUUCGGGAGAGGUGAGUGGAAUGCCGAGUGUAGAGGUGAAAUUCGUAGAUAUUCGGCGGAACACCAGUGGCGAAGGCGACUCACUGGCCCGAUACUGACGCUGAGGCGCGAAAGCGUGGGGAGCAAACAGG
Molecule: ribosomal RNA, 253 nt
Filed under: uncultured bacterium
Lineage: Bacteria
Description: partial 16S ribosomal RNA
Rfam family: Bacterial small subunit ribosomal RNA
Source: RNAcentral